CCUACGGGUGGCAGCAGUGGGGAAUAUUGCACAAUGGGGGAAACCCUGAUGCAGCGACGCCGCGUGAGUGAAGAAGUAUUUCGGUACGUAAAGCUCUAUCAGCAGGGAAGAAAAUGACGGUACCUGACUAAGAAGCCCCGGCUAACUACGUGCCAGCAGCCGCGGUAAUAAGUAGGGGGCAAGCGUUAUCCGGAUUUACUGGGUGUAAAGGGAGCGUAGACGGCAGCGCAAGUCUGGAGUGAAAUCCCAUGGCUUAACCAUGGAACUGCUUUGGAAACUGUGCAGCUAGAGUGCAGGAGAGGUAAGCGGAAUUCGUAGUGUAGCGGUGAAAUGCGUAGAUAUUAGGAGGAACACCAGUGGCGAAGGCGGCUUACUGGACUGUAACUGACGUUGAGGCUCGAAAGCGUGGGGAGCAAACAGGAGUAGAUACCCGAGUAGUC
RNAcentral lists this ribosomal RNA (440 nucleotides) under uncultured bacterium. RNAcentral's name for it is "partial 16S ribosomal RNA". It matches the Rfam family "Bacterial small subunit ribosomal RNA", at positions 338 to 795 of the family's 1533-position model. The record is from RNAcentral.